AAUCAAAAAAAUUUUUUUAAGUGUAAAAUUUUAAAAUAACAAAGAAAAUAACUUAAAAAAUAAUCAAAAUAUUUCAAUCAAAUUUAUUCACAACUCGCAUAUUACAUUUUCUGCUCAACUAAAAAAAAAUCAAAAGAAUAGAAUAUAAAUUAACAAAACCAAAAAAAAAUAUGCAAUAACCCUAAGGCGUUUUUGUGUUUUGCCAAAGCAUCGAAUACAAAAAAAGGAUUAAUAUUUAUACAAUUGAAAUAACGUUCUAUACGUGAGCAAGGAUAAUAAAAAUAGCUGAAGAAUCAAAUUAAACAAAUUUUUUUAAUUAAAUUGAAAAAGAAAUAACAAAAAAAAAAAAAAAAACGUAACCUAGACGUACAAGUAAUAUUAAUCUACUUAAACGUUUAAAAAUCUUAAAAGCUUUUUACAGAAUUUUAAAUCAAAACAUAAAUUAAAAAGAAAAAUGUGAGAAACAGUGAAAACACAACGAAAAACUUAAUUAAUUAGGCAAAACCAUUUACAGACAUACAACCCACAACCAAAGAAAAAGAAAAGUGGGGAGAAAAUACGAAGUAAGACAUAAUUUAUGAAUGUUGAAAAUUACAUUUACAGAAAAGUAAAA
Lucilia sericata (common green bottle fly) is the source of this 613-nucleotide long non-coding RNA. RefSeq lists it as uncharacterized. The transcript is spliced from 2 exons. Lineage: Eukaryota; Metazoa; Arthropoda; Insecta; Diptera; Calliphoridae. The record is from RefSeq and is a predicted model, not a curated record.